UGGGGAAUUUUGGACAAUGGGCGAAAGCCUGAUCCAGCAAUGCCGCGUGUGUGAAGAAGGCCUUCGGGUUGUAAAGCACUUUUGUCCGGAAAGAAAUCCUUGGCUCUAAUACAGUCGGGGGAUGACGGUACCGGAAGAAUAAGCACCGGCUAACUACGUGCCAGCAGCCGCGGUAAUACGUAGGGUGCAAGCGUUAAUCGGAAUUACUGGGCGUAAAGCGUGCGCAGGCGGUUUGCUAAGACCGAUGUGAAAUCCCCGGGCUCAACCUGGGAACUGCAUUGGUGACUGGCAGGCUAGAGUAUGGCAGAGGGGGGUAGAAUUCCACGUGUAGCAGUGAAAUGCGUAGAGAUGUGGAGGAAUACCGAUGGCGAAGGCAGCCCCCUGGGCCAAUACUGACGCUCAUGCACGAAAGCGUGGGGAGCAAACAGGAUUAGAUACCCUGGUAGUCCACGCCCUAAACGAUGUCAACUAGUUGUUGGGAUUCAUUCCUUAGUAACGUAGCUAACGCGUGAAGUUGACCGCCUGGGGAUACGGUCGCAAGAUUAAAACUCAAAUGAAUUGAC
Molecule: ribosomal RNA, 563 nt
Filed under: uncultured bacterium
Lineage: Bacteria
Description: partial 16S ribosomal RNA
Rfam family: Bacterial small subunit ribosomal RNA
Source: RNAcentral